CAGCAGCCACGGGAAUACGUAGGUGGCAAGCGUUGUCCGGAAUUAUUGGGCGUAAAGCGCGCGCAGGCGGUUUCUUAAGUCUGAUGUGAAAGCCCCCGGCUUAACCUGGGAGGGUCAUUGGAAACUGGGAGACUUAGAGUGCAGAAGAGGAGAGUGGAAUUCCAUGUGUAGCGGUGAAAUGCGUAGAUAUAUGGAGGAACACCGGUGGCGAAAGCGGCUCUCUGGCUUGUAACUGACGCUGAGGCUCGAAAGCGUGGGGAGCAAACAGGAUUAGAUACCCCAGUAGUCCCUGUCUCUUAUA
RNAcentral lists this ribosomal RNA (301 nucleotides) under uncultured bacterium. RNAcentral's name for it is "partial 16S ribosomal RNA". It matches the Rfam family "Bacterial small subunit ribosomal RNA", at positions 509 to 808 of the family's 1533-position model. The record is from RNAcentral.